GACGAACGCUGGCGGCGUGCUUAACACAUGCAAGUCGAGCGGUAAGGCCCUUUCGGGGGUACACGAGCGGCGAACGGGUGAGUAACACGUGGGUGACCUACCUUCGAAUGGGGGAUAACGUCCCGAAAGGGACGCGUAAUACCGCAGUAACAAUCCUGCCUUUGAACAGGCGAGAUCAAAGCCGGGGAUCGCAAAGACCUGGCGUUUGAAGAGGGGCCCGCGUCCGAUUAGCUAGUUGGUGAGGUAACGGCUCACCAAGGCGACGAUCGGU
This 271-nucleotide ribosomal RNA is filed under the name uncultured bacterium. Its description in RNAcentral is "partial 16S ribosomal RNA". It matches the Rfam family "Bacterial small subunit ribosomal RNA", at positions 28 to 284 of the family's 1533-position model. The record is from RNAcentral.